AGUCUGUUAACUCGUUUCUUCUAGACCAUAUAGUCCCUUUAAAAUACGUAAACAUCACCUCUCACCAGCCUUUCUCCAAAAGAGGUUCAUCAGUCUUCGCUUUCUGUAUUCCCUCUGCCCUUUGACACAGUUAUGUACUACUCUCCCAAUUAUCUUCUGUAAUAUGGACCAUAGCUGGAAGAAAUUAGACAUUGCCCAAGAUUCUGUUCUGUCUUCCUUCUCCACUAACCUGGUGAUCUAUGCACUUCCAUGAUUACAUCUCUCACUUGGAUACUGUUGACUUUGAGAUACCCAUCUCCAGCCCCAUCCACAGUACUGAGGUCCAGUCAGGAAUUUGUAAAUGUUGAACAACUCUAUCAAGAUAUGCUUCCUGCACCUCAUACCCAGUGCUUGGAAAAUAACCUCUUUGUGUUCCCUUUUCCCCUUGCCCAGAUACCUUUCCCUUCUUGAAUUUCCUUUUUAUGUUACUGGAACUAGUAGGUUCUAUUUCAGACUUGUGUAAACAAGGAGUUACCUGAGUCCUCUCCCCCACCAUAGGUUGCGUAGAUCCAACCCUGCUUUCCAUUCCUACUGAUGCCAUCCUAGCUCGGACUUCAUUAGCUUUUACUAGCAUUAGCUUUUUAGCUAUUCUCUUUCCCCUUAGGACUUUAUACCUCCAGUUUAUCCUACUCUCUGUAGUGGGUGAGUUAUCCUAAAGCACAGUUCAGACCAGGUCAUAUCUCAAAAAACAGCUCUCUGUUGCCUACUGUAUAAAAUGCAUUCUACCCCAACCUUAAAAGUGCUUCCCAAAUAUGAUCCCAAACCACCACUGCGACAUAACUCCUUGCCUGUUUUCAGCUAACUGAAAUGGCACACUCCAAAUAUAGGUAACACUUACUAGCCCCCUUGUCACUGCCUAAUUCUUUCCUCCACCUAGAAUAUCCUUUACUCCAUCUCUGACUACCAGAAAUGAAUCCCAUCCAAUGCCCAUGUUCUCCAUCAACUCGUUCCCUAUUCUCCAAGCUAGUAAUGAGCUCAGCCUCUUCUGAGUUCCUAUACCAUUUGUUCCUGUCUCUCUUUUAGAAUCAGCUACAGUAUAUAUUGUGUAUAUAAUCUUUUGUAUAAUUCUUAGUAUGUACUAUUGGGUUAUAAGCAUCUUGAGGGCAGAGACCUUGUAUUCAUGUCUAUCACCCACAAUCUCUUUUAUAUAUCAACCCCUGGAUGAAAACAGAAGCCAGGAAACAGAGUUUAGACUAAAGGAAAAAUGAAUGUAAACCUGGUUUUGUUCACAGAUGUGUAGAGCUGCAGAAGACACUACAACCUCAGUUUAAUGAAUUCAGUCAUGCAAUACUCAUUUUCUAUCCUGUACCUCUUCAUUUUAGAAAUGAACAUAACUUGCCAAGCAAGAUGACCAACACCUGUAAUCCCAGCUCCCUGAGGCUGAGAUAGCAUCCUGCAUCCCGAGUCUUAAACAGAAUCUAAUGCAACAAAAGAAGAUUUAUUCUCCACUCCUUAGAAAAGGAGAAUGAAUAGCGUCAACCAGAGAAAUCUGAAAGACGAACACUAGCCUUAAUGGAGAGUCCUUCAACUCAAGACAAGGAAAAGAGACUAUACUUCUAUGAAAAAAAAUUUUAAGAAGAUGUGUUUGUGCCUAUAUGAUCUCCCACCAUGAUGCGCCACCAUCUAUUGCCCUCAUUGAAAGCCAAAACAGUGUCCUCUCAUCAGUCUCCUCAUCUUGGACUUUGAACCUCUAAAACUGUGAGCUAAAUAAACCUUUUCUCUUUAUAAGUUACUUGCCUUUGGCAUUUCACUGUAGUAACACAAAGCAAACUAAUACAAUGCCCUUCCAUUACUUUGCACCUGUUCUGCGUAAUCAAACCUAGAUUAUUUCACAGUCUGCUUUUCCUGUUCUUCCUUCUCAAACAACAGGGCUGGAGAAAAUUAUAUGAUGUAGAGUCUUGUGCUGUUGCAGAUUCUGGCUCAACUGAAC
Molecule: long non-coding RNA, 1969 nt
Organism: Heterocephalus glaber (naked mole-rat)
Lineage: Eukaryota; Metazoa; Chordata; Mammalia; Rodentia; Bathyergidae
Source: Ensembl